RNAcentral lists this ribosomal RNA (1542 nucleotides) under Shigella boydii. RNAcentral's name for it is "bacterial SSU rRNA". It matches the Rfam family "Bacterial small subunit ribosomal RNA". Lineage: Bacteria; Pseudomonadati; Pseudomonadota; Gammaproteobacteria; Enterobacterales; Enterobacteriaceae. The record is from RNAcentral. RNAcentral also lists the same sequence under 2 other names.
AAAUUGAAGAGUUUGAUCAUGGCUCAGAUUGAACGCUGGCGGCAGGCCUAACACAUGCAAGUCGAACGGUAACAGGAAUCAGCUUGCUGAUUCGCUGACGAGUGGCGGACGGGUGAGUAAUGUCUGGGAAACUGCCUGAUGGAGGGGGAUAACUACUGGAAACGGUAGCUAAUACCGCAUAAUGUCGCAAGACCAAAGAGGGGGACCUUCGGGCCUCUUGCCAUCGGAUGUGCCCAGAUGGGAUUAGCUUGUUGGUGGGGUAACGGCUCACCAAGGCGACGAUCCCUAGCUGGUCUGAGAGGAUGACCAGCCACACUGGAACUGAGACACGGUCCAGACUCCUACGGGAGGCAGCAGUGGGGAAUAUUGCACAAUGGGCGCAAGCCUGAUGCAGCCAUGCCGCGUGUAUGAAGAAGGCCUUCGGGUUGUAAAGUACUUUCAGCGGGGAGGAAGGGAGUAAAGUUAAUACCUUUGCUCAUUGACGUUACCCGCAGAAGAAGCACCGGCUAACUCCGUGCCAGCAGCCGCGGUAAUACGGAGGGUGCAAGCGUUAAUCGGAAUUACUGGGCGUAAAGCGCACGCAGGCGGUUUGUUAAGUCAGAUGUGAAAUCCCCGGGCUCAACCUGGGAACUGCAUCUGAUACUGGCAAGCUUGAGUCUCGUAGAGGGGGGUAGAAUUCCAGGUGUAGCGGUGAAAUGCGUAGAGAUCUGGAGGAAUACCGGUGGCGAAGGCGGCCCCCUGGACGAAGACUGACGCUCAGGUGCGAAAGCGUGGGGAGCAAACAGGAUUAGAUACCCUGGUAGUCCACGCCGUAAACGAUGUCGACUUGGAGGUUGUGCCCUUGAGGCGUGGCUUCCGGAGCUAACGCGUUAAGUCGACCGCCUGGGGAGUACGGCCGCAAGGUUAAAACUCAAAUGAAUUGACGGGGGCCCGCACAAGCGGUGGAGCAUGUGGUUUAAUUCGAUGCAACGCGAAGAACCUUACCUGGUCUUGACAUCCACGGAAGUUUUCAGAGAUGAGAAUGUGCCUUCGGGAACCGUGAGACAGGUGCUGCAUGGCUGUCGUCAGCUCGUGUUGUGAAAUGUUGGGUUAAGUCCCGCAACGAGCGCAACCCUUAUCCUUUGUUGCCAGCGGUCCGGCCGGGAACUCAAAGGAGACUGCCAGUGAUAAACUGGAGGAAGGUGGGGACGACGUCAAGUCAUCAUGGCCCUUACGACCAGGGCUACACACGUGCUACAAUGGCGCAUACAAAGAGAAGCGACCUCGCGAGAGCAAGCGGACCUCAUAAAGUGCGUCGUAGUCCGGAUUGGAGUCUGCAACUCGACUCCAUGAAGUCGGAAUCGCUAGUAAUCGUGGAUCAGAAUGCCACGGUGAAUACGUUCCCGGGCCUUGUACACACCGCCCGUCACACCAUGGGAGUGGGUUGCAAAAGAAGUAGGUAGCUUAACCUUCGGGAGGGCGCUUACCACUUUGUGAUUCAUGACUGGGGUGAAGUCGUAACAAGGUAACCGUAGGGGAACCUGCGGUUGGAUCACCUCCUUA